GACUCCUACGGGAGGCAGCAGUGGGGAAUAUUGCGCAAUGGGCGAAAGCCUGACGCAGCGACGCCGCGUGGAGGAUGAAGGUUUUAGGAUCGUAAACUCCUGUUAAGUGGGAAGAAAGAUUCAUCUCUAAUACAGAUGAAGGAUGACGGUACCGCUAGAGAAAGCACCGGCUAACUUCGUGCCAGCAGCCGCGGUAAUACGAGGGGUGCAAGCGUUAUUCGGAAUCACUGGGCGUAAAGGGUGUGCAGACGGUUUAUUAAGUUGCUUGUUUAAUUCUUCGGCCUAACCGAAGGCUCGCAAGCAAAACUGGUAGACUUGAGGAUGGAAGAGAGAAGUGGAAUUCUCGGAGUAGCGGUAAAAAUGCGUAGAUCUCGAGAGGAACACCAAUGGCGAAGGCAGCUUCUUGGUCCAUUCCUGACGUUCAUACACGAAAGCGUGGGGAGCAAACAGGAUUAGAUACCCUGGUAG
Molecule: ribosomal RNA, 468 nt
Filed under: uncultured bacterium
Lineage: Bacteria
Description: bacterial SSU rRNA
Rfam family: Bacterial small subunit ribosomal RNA
Source: RNAcentral